AGUAUUUUGACUAUACAAAGGUAUUGAAAUAAGACUUUAAUUGAGUGCUAAGAGAAUGGAAUUUCAUAAAAUUUCUUUUUUAAUUUUAAAAAUUGAAAUUAAUUUUAUAUGUGAAGAAACAAUAAUAAAAAUUAAGGACAAGAAGACCCUAAGAAUUUUAAAAAUUUCAAUAAAAUACAGCAUUUUACUGAAAUUUUUUAAUUGGGGCGAUUAUUAAAUAUUAAAAACUUUAAUUUUUUUAAAAAAGAACCAAUAAUAUUGGUUAUUUGAAAAAAUACUCUAGGGAUAACAGCGUAAUAAUUUUUGAUAGUUCUUAUAGACAAAAUAGUUUGCGACCUCGAUGUUGGAUUAGGAUUCUUUUUUAAUGAAGAAGUUAAAAAAAGAAGUUUGUUCAACUUUUAAAAUCCU
This 408-nucleotide ribosomal RNA is filed under the name Amblyomma maculatum (Gulf Coast tick). Its description in RNAcentral is "partial small subunit ribosomal RNA". Lineage: Eukaryota; Metazoa; Arthropoda; Arachnida; Ixodida; Ixodidae. The record is from RNAcentral.